RNAcentral lists this ribosomal RNA (950 nucleotides) under Staphylococcus pseudintermedius. Its description in RNAcentral is "partial 23S ribosomal RNA". It matches the Rfam family "Bacterial large subunit ribosomal RNA", at positions 532 to 1486 of the family's 2925-position model. The record is from RNAcentral. Lineage: Bacteria; Bacillati; Bacillota; Bacilli; Caryophanales; Staphylococcaceae.
AGGGGAGUGAAAGAGAACUUGAAACCGUGUGCUUACAAGUAGUCAGAGCCCGUUAAUGGGUGAUGGCGUGCCUUUUGUAGAAUGAACCGGCGAGUUACGAUCUGAUGCAAGGUUAAGCAGAAAAUGUGGAGCCGUAGCGAAAGCGAGUCUGAAUAGGGCGAAUGAGUAUUUGGUCGUAGACCCGAAACCAGGUGAUCUACCCUUGGUCAGGUUGAAGUUCAGGUAACACUGAAUGGAGGACCGAACCGACUUACGUUGAAAAGUGAGCGGAUGAACUGAGGGUAGCGGAGAAAUUCCAAUCGAACUUGGAGAUAGCUGGUUCUCUCCGAAAUAGCUUUAGGGCUAGCCUCAAGUGAUGAUUAUUGGAGGUAGAGCACUGUUUGGACGAGGGGCCCCUCUCGGGUUACCGAAUUCAGACAAACUCCGAAUGCCAAAUAAUUUAACUUGGGAGUCAGAAUGUGGGUGAUAAGGUCCAUAUUCGAAAGGGAAACAGCCCAGACCACCAGCUAAGGUCCCAAAAUAUAUGUUAAGUGGAAAAGGAUGUGGCGUUGCCCAGACAACUAGGAUGUUGGCUUAGAAGCAGCCAUCAUUUAAAGAGUGCGUAAUAGCUCACUAGUCGAGUGACACUGCGCCGAAAAUGUACCGGGGCUAAACAUAUUACCGAAGCUGUGGAUUGUCCUUUGGACAAUGGUAGGAGAGCGUUCUAAGGGCGUUGAAGCAUGAUCGCAAGGACAUGUGGAGCGCUUAGAAGUGAGAAUGCCGGUGUGAGUAGCGAAAGACGGGUGAGAAUCCCGUCCACCGAUUGACUAAGGUUUCCAGAGGAAGGCUCGUCCGCUCUGGGUUAGUCGGGUCCUAAGCUGAGGCCGACAGGCGUAGGCGAUGGAUAACAGGUUGAUAUUCCUGUACCACCAUUAUUCGUUUUAAGCGAUGGGGGGACGCAGUAGGAUAGG